This 483-nucleotide ribosomal RNA is filed under the name uncultured bacterium. RNAcentral's name for it is "partial 16S ribosomal RNA". It matches the Rfam family "Bacterial small subunit ribosomal RNA", at positions 30 to 506 of the family's 1533-position model. The record is from RNAcentral.
AUUGAACGCUGGCGGCAGGCCUAACACAUGCAAGUCGAGCGGAUGAAGGGAGCUUGCUCCUGGAUUCAGCGGCGGACGGGUGAGUAAUGCCUAGGAAUCUGCCUGGUAGUGGGGGAUAACGUCCGGAAACGGGCGCUAAUACCGCAUACGUCCUGAGGGAGAAAGUGGGGGAUCUUCGGACCUCACGCUAUCAGAUGAGCCUAGGUCGGAUUAGCUAGUUGGUGGGGUAAAGGCCCACCAAGGCGACGAUCCGUAACUGGUCUGAGAGGAUGAUCAGUCACACUGGAACUGAGACACGGUCCAGACUCCUACGGGAGGCAGCAGUGGGGAAUAUUGGACAAUGGGCGAAAGCCUGAUCCAGCCAUGCCGCGUGUGUGAAGAAGGUCUUCGGAUUGUAAAGCACUUUAAGUUGGGAGGAGGGGCAGUAAGUUAAUACCUUGCUGUUUUGACGUUACCAACAGAAUAAGCACCGGCUAACUUCGU